GAUGAACGCUGGCGGCGUGCCUAAUACAUGCAAGUCGAGCGAACGGACGAGAAGCUUGCUUCUCUGAUGUUAGCGGCGGACGGGUGAGUAACACGUGGAUAACCUACCUAUAAGACUGGGAUAACUUCGGGAAACCGUAGCUAAUACCGGAUAAUAUUUUGAACCGCAUGGUUCAAAAGUGAAAGACGGUCUUGCUGUCUCUUAUAGAUGGAUCCGCGCUGCAUUAGCUAGUUGGUAAGGUAACGGCUUACGAAGGCAACGAGGCAUAGCCGACCUGAGGGGGUGAUCGGCCACACUGGAGGUGGAACACGGUCCAGACUCCUACGGUAGGCAGCAGUAGGGAAUCUGCCGCAAUGGGCGAAAGCCUGACGCAGCAGCGCCGCGUGUGUGAUGAAGGUCUUCGGAGCGUAAAACUCUGUUAUUAGUGAAGAACAUAUGUGUAAGUAACUGUGCACAUCUUGACGGUACCGAAUCAGAAAGCCACGGCUAACUACGUG
RNAcentral lists this ribosomal RNA (497 nucleotides) under uncultured bacterium. Its description in RNAcentral is "partial 16S ribosomal RNA". It matches the Rfam family "Bacterial small subunit ribosomal RNA", at positions 28 to 507 of the family's 1533-position model. The record is from RNAcentral.